RNAcentral lists this long non-coding RNA (573 nucleotides) under Mytilus galloprovincialis (Mediterranean mussel). Lineage: Eukaryota; Metazoa; Mollusca; Bivalvia; Mytilida; Mytilidae. The record is from RNAcentral.
ACUACUGGGGAUUCCUUAUAAUUCAUGGGCUACCAAUUUCCUGGUUUCAUGGGUACUCAUAAGCCACAAAUUUAAAUGUUCAACAAAUUACAACAUUUAUAUUGGCUUGUAUGCAGAUAUAGGCAAAACCAAAAAAUCCAAUAUCCACAAGAAUUGGUAACAACAGGAAUAAAUAAAUCUACAGUGAUACAUCUCAAACUUGGCUUUCAUUGUGAAGUUCUAAUAAAAUGAUCAGAACCAAAAAUGUUUCUAAAUAAACUAUCAAAACUAACUAGAAUGACUAGUCCUUAUAAAAGAUCCUCUAUAUAAAAAAAAACAACAAUACAGACAAAAAGAGAUCAAUAUGAAAUAAAGAAUGGCAAAACAGAGUUCCCUCCCUUGUAAUGUUACCGUUGAAUUUCAUGACAAUUCUGCACAAUCACAGAACUUUCGCUAUUUCAAUGUACUUUGCAAUAAUCAAUAUCUGACUUGUUAUCACUUUUAUAUCUAUAUUCGCAAAUGGCUUAUAUCUGGUCACAAAAAAUAUUAUUAAAAGGUUAUCCAAUUCUUAAUAAGGGUAAAAAUGAUGAUAUA